Molecule: ribosomal RNA, 253 nt
Filed under: uncultured bacterium
Lineage: Bacteria
Description: partial 16S ribosomal RNA
Rfam family: Bacterial small subunit ribosomal RNA
Source: RNAcentral
UACAGAGGUCCCAAGCGUUGUUCGGAUUCACUGGGCGUAAAGGGUGCGUAGGCGGUCGGGUAAGUCUGAUGUGAAAUCUCACAGCUUAACUGUGAAACUGCAUUGGAUACUAUCCGGCUCGAGGAAUGGAGGGGAGACUGGAAUACUUGGUGUAGCAGUGAAAUGCGUAGAUAUCAAGUGGAACACCAGUGGCGAAGGCGAGUCUCUGGACAUUUCCUGACGCUGAGGCACGACAGCGUGGGGAUCAAACAGG